This 157-nucleotide ribosomal RNA is filed under the name uncultured bacterium. RNAcentral's name for it is "partial 16S ribosomal RNA". It matches the Rfam family "Bacterial small subunit ribosomal RNA", at positions 355 to 509 of the family's 1533-position model. The record is from RNAcentral.
UGAGGAAUAUUGGUCAAUGGCCGGGAAGGCUGAACCAGCCAAGUCGCGUGAGGGAAGACGGCCCUACGGGUUGUAAACCUCUUUUGUCAGGGAGCAAACCUCUCCACGCGUGGGGAGUCGAGAGUACCUGAAGAAAAGCAUCGGCUAACUCCGUGCC